This is a long non-coding RNA of Hibiscus syriacus, 243 nucleotides long. RefSeq lists it as uncharacterized. The record is from RefSeq and is a predicted model, not a curated record. The transcript has 2 exons. NCBI's taxonomy places the organism in Eukaryota, Viridiplantae, Streptophyta, Magnoliopsida, Malvales, Malvaceae.
AGAACUUCAUCCUCUGAUUCGUAGUUAGUCAGGUUUGGGGAAUUGAUACAAGUAGCACAUACCAACACGAUUUAGUUCGAUAGAGAACUGUGAUCCAUAUCAAGCAUAUCAUUUCCCAUAAUGAGAGGUCAAGUAGCAAAUUAGCAACAUUGAGCAUAAAACUAAAAUUAUAGCAUAUUAUGGGUCCUUCCUCUCUACAACUACUUAUAAAAUUAAUAAACAUUACAACAUUAAGAAUCUAGA